Molecule: ribosomal RNA, 492 nt
Filed under: uncultured bacterium
Lineage: Bacteria
Description: partial 16S ribosomal RNA
Rfam family: Bacterial small subunit ribosomal RNA
Source: RNAcentral
AGUGAACGCUGGCGGUAGGCCUAACACAUGCAAGUCGAACGGCAGCACAGUAAGAGCUUGCUCUUACGGGUGGCGAGUGGCGGACGGGUGAGGAAUACAUCGGAAUCUACUUUUUCGUGGGGGAUAACGUAGGGAAACUUACGCUAAUACCGCAUACGACCUACGGGUGAAAGCAGGGGAUCUUCGGACCUUGCGCGAUUGAAUGAGCCGAUGUCGGAUUAGCUAGUUGGCGGGGUAAAGGCCCACCAAGGCGACGAUCCGUAGCUGGUCUGAGAGGAUGAUCAGCCACACUGGAGCUGAGACACGGUCCAGACUCCUACGGGAGGCAGCAGUGGGGAAUAUUGGACAAUGGGCGCGAGCCUGAUCCAGCCAUACCGCGUGGGUGAAGAAGGCCUUCGGGUUGUAAAGCCCUUUUGUUGGGAAAGAAAAGCAGCAGGUUAAUACCCCGCUGUUCUGACGGUACCCAAAGAAGAAGCACCGGCUAACUUCGUG